UAAAAUCCAAGUUCGACUCAUUUGAUCCUGCAGCUUCACCUUUUAUGGCGGCGGCAUAGAACAUAACAUGUAUUCGACGUCUUAUAUUUGUUUACAAAUGGAGUACAUGUGAAAAAUAAAAUGAAAGACUAUUGCGGUUUAUAAAACAGAUAAUUCCUUGAAUUUCAGGUUCACAUCCUUAACAGCACCUCUCCCAUAGGAUAACAGCAACCAAAUUGCAUCCAAACACAGAACAGACAUCACAUCCUUAACAACAACUCCCCCAUAAGCAUAACAGCAAUUAAAGUGCAUCCGAGCACCACCGACCACACCACUACCAACACUACAUACAGCCCCCUGAAGGUCGCAUCAACACUACCCUGUACUCACACAGUCACGUCUCUGUGCAACAAUGUCCUAAAGCCUCGUUGUUAGUCCUUCGCCACAUGUUAAGCGUUAAUGCUGCAAGCAUAAUCACAGCUCCCAUGUCACAGCGUAAGCGUCAAGCACAACACUGACGCUGCAAGAGGAAAAGAAGGUUAGCAUAUAAAAUAUCCAAAUAAAAAUAAACUCAAGAAAGUAUGAGACAGACAAAAAAGCAUUACUCGCUGGUCACUUUCUUCUGUUGCAGAAGGUUCUUGAUGCACUCUGCGAGGCAAUCCUGGUCAUGCGCUGCAGCAAGUAACUCGCUGUCAUCUGUGCUCGACAUUGUUGUCACCUUGCCAUCCUGAAACAACGGAACUCAUAAGAAAUAUCUCAAGAAUAAUUAAAGAUCUGGGCCCUGACCAAACUGAACUAAUAUAUAUAGAAAGCUCAUAAUAUUAUGUACUAAUAGCACGUGGACAGGCUAAAUCUAGGAAACGUACCCUGGCAUGGUCAGGACCAUGAUGAACAAGAUGGCGAUGGUACUUUAUAAUGCUUCCCAACAAGUUGAAAUAAGGAAGGGUGUUGAAAUUUGGUAUCAGCUUGUACCAGAAAACCUUCCAGAGAAUGUAGUUCACAGGGGUCUGCUUGAUAAAAUCUCGCCAGUUUGAAGAAGGAGCUACUUUGAAAACAGUAUCAAAGAACGGGUUUUCCUCAAAAUUCAAGUCCACCAGAAGCCAAUACAGAUUCCUAAGGAGAUUUGCCCUUCCUAUCGAUGACAUAACAAAGGGGUGUAGCAGGAGGUAUGCAUAGUACCAAGAUUGGAAAUCCUCUUCAGCAAGUGUGCCAUGAGACUUCAACGCAUUUGUGAAGUGUUCCAUAAACACAGGAAUCACUCCAUUGAUCAUGAAGUUUGGAACUACUGUGUCAGCUAUUUGAGUAAGGUCCAUGUUAGACAUUGCUCUACUGGUGCAACGGACAGAUUUGGCAAUUGGAUAAAUGUGAGUUCCAUCUAUGACUUCCCAGUCAUCAAGGCUUCAUUGACCAUCCCAACAGUAACCUCUUUUGUGUUCUGCUAUGGUAUGUUGUGUUAACUUGUGAAGCAGAAUCCUUGACUCUUUUACUGCUGUUGGGACGUCUUUGCUAUAGGCCUGGUUCUGGAACAGAUGAGCAAUUCUGCCUGCAGGAUUGUUGAUGAAGUGCUGAUGCAAUGAACAUAUGCUGCAAUACAAGAAUAAGCUCUUUUAGCAACUUUACACUAAUAUUUACGCAAUGUCUAGAUGAUGCAGUAUAAUAGCAUGGUCUAAGUGAAAAUGAAAUUUGCGUGCUUGUAACCAAGGGAGAUCAAAAAGUAGGGGCAUAGAACUCUUAAGACUUUACUACCACAUUACAAAGCUAAAAGCCCAUGCCGCUGUUUUGCUCCAAAAGACAACUAAUAUGACCUAGUUAUUGCGCAAGAGAAAUGUUUGAAACAAAUGAAAAUUUAGCUCAAAGAACACACAACAUGUAUUAAUGCUGCACUGGCAAUACCCAAAUAACCAAAUUAGGUAGAGAGGGAAUAGUGUUGCAGUAUACAAGACUGCAAGGAAUGAAUAGAAAACGAAACAAAGAUCAGCGGGCCAUGAAAAAUUACCUUGAAGGCAUCUGCAUAACUGUCAGUUUUGUUUGGACUUGAAUGAAUUGUUUCAUUUUAUCCUCACUUGCAAACCUCUUCUUUAUAGUCUCAGGACUCUGACUUUUGAAAGAUUCCAAUAAGAAUGUUCUGAGGGCAGACUCCAAAUGUACUUUUAACCUGUGGAAUAAUAAACGGUUGUUCAAACCACAAUUCAUGAACAUAUUUAAGGCAUAGUCCACAAUAACUAUCAGUGCACAGAUGACAAAUGCAAGUGGAUGAUAAAAGCAUUCCCUACAAAAUAACUAAGGCAGUGGCUUACUUAUGUCAGAACUCACCUCUCAUAGUUAUUACAUAUCAUGUAUGCAAGUUUACGAUCUUCUGUUUUCAACCUGUCAAAACUCAUCUUUAAGUGACAGCUACCAGAUGCCCAAAGGCGGCGUGCAUCUUCACCACAGCACCUAGAACAAGAAUUCAAUAUCGUUAGCCUGUUAUUAGCUGAAGCAAUAGGAACAACGAUAACGAAAUCCAAACCAUAACUAACCUUCGUAGAUGCUUGAGGUAGGUCAUGGUCGUGUUGCUGUCUUCAGACUGCUGGAGUGCCUGUGCAUAGGAUUCGGGAAUGGGCUCGAAAAAUGGGGAAACAUCAGCAUGUGGGGGUUCGACCGGUGAGGUGGCUGCCUGAGAGGCUGUGGAUGUUGGUGUGGAUCCGGGCGGAGGAGUCGGAGACAGAAUCGCUGGAGCCUGAGGAUGAGGGAGGGCAACGGGUGAGGUAACUGCCUGUGGAGACGCUGUGGAUGUUGGCGGGGAUCCGGGUGGAAGAUGAUGGCGUCGAAGGUGCGCCCGACGCCGACAAGGGUAAUGUUGAUGUUGGAUUUGGG
This 2835-nucleotide long non-coding RNA is filed under the name Triticum aestivum (bread wheat). RNAcentral describes it as "long non-coding RNA (TAES_LNC007501)". Lineage: Eukaryota; Viridiplantae; Streptophyta; Magnoliopsida; Poales; Poaceae. The record is from RNAcentral.